RNAcentral lists this transfer RNA (75 nucleotides) under Treponema saccharophilum. RNAcentral describes it as "tRNA-Arg". It matches the Rfam family "tRNA". Rfam says of the family: Transfer RNA (tRNA) molecules are approximately 80 nucleotides in length. Their secondary structure includes four short double-helical elements and three loops (D, anti-codon, and T loops). RNAcentral also lists the same sequence under 3 other names. The record is from RNAcentral. Lineage: Bacteria; Pseudomonadati; Spirochaetota; Spirochaetia; Treponematales; Treponemataceae.
GAGAUUGUAGCUCAGCUGGAUUAGAGCAUCUGCCUUCUAAGCAGAGGGUCGCUGGUUCGAGCCCAGUCAGUCUCA